GAUGAACGCUGGCGGCGUGCCUAAUACAUGCAAGUCGAGCGAACGGACGAGAAGCUUGCUUUUCUGAUGUUAGCGGCGGACGGGUGAGUAACACGUGGAUAACCUACCUAUAAGACUGGGAUAACUUCGGGAAACCGGAGCUAAUACCGGAUAAUAUUUUGAACCGCAUGGUUCAAAAGUGAAAGACGGUCUUGCUGUCACUUAUAGAUGGAUCCGCGCUGCAUUAGCUAGUUGGUAAGGUAACGGCUUACCAAGGCAACGAUGCAUAGCCGACCUGAGAGGGUGAUCGGCCACACUGGAACUGAGACACGGUCCAGACUCCUACGGGAGGCAGCAGUAGGGAAUCUUCCGCAAUGGGCGAAAGCCUGACGGAGCAACGCCGCGUGAGUGAUGAAGGUCUUCGGAUCGUAAAACUCUGUUAUUAGGGAAGAACAUAUGUGUAAGUAACUGUGCACAUCUUGACGGUACCUAAUCAGAAAGCCACGGCUAACUACGUGCCAGCAGCCGCGGUAAUACGUAGGUGGCAAGCGUUAUCCGGAAUUAUUGGGCGUAAAGCGCGCGUAGGCGGUUUUUUAAGUCUGAUGUGAAAGCCCACGGCUCAACCGUGGGGGGUCAUUGGAAACUGGAAAACUUGAGUGCAGAAGAGGAAAGUGGAAUUCCAUGUGUAGCGGUGAAAUGCGCAGAGAUAUGGAGGAACACCAGUGGCGAAGGCGACUUUCUGGUCUGUAACUGACGCUGAUGUGCGAAAGCGUGGGGAUCAAACAGGAUUAGAUACCCUGGUAGUCCACGCCGUAAACGAUGAGUGCUAAGUGUUAGGGGGUUUCCGCCCCUUAGUGCUGCAGCUAACGCAUUAAGCACUCCGCCUGGGGAGUACGACCGCAAGGUUGAAACUCAAAGGAAUUGACGGGGACCCGCACAAGCGGUGGAGCAUGUGGUUUAAUUCGAAGCAACGCGAAGAACCUUACCAAAUCUUGACAUCCUUUGACAACUCUAGAGAUAGAGCCUUCCCCUUCGGGGGACAAAGUGACAGGUGGUGCAUGGUUGUCGUCAGCUCGUGUCGUGAGAUGUUGGGUUAAGUCCCGCAACGAGCGCAACCCUUAAGCUUAGUUGCCAUCAUUAAGUUGGGCACUCUAAGUUGACUGCCGGUGACAAACCGGAGGAAGGUGGGGAUGACGUCAAAUCAUCAUGCCCCUUAUGAUUUGGGCUACACACGUGCUACAAUGGACAAUACAAAGGGCAGCGAAACCGCGAGGUCGAGCAAAUCCCAUAAAGUUGUUCUCAGUUCGGAUUGUAGUCUGCAACUCGACUACAUGAAGCUGGAAUCGCUAGUAAUCGUAGAUCAGCAUGCUACGGUGAAUACGUUCCCGGGUCU
RNAcentral lists this ribosomal RNA (1372 nucleotides) under uncultured bacterium. RNAcentral describes it as "bacterial SSU rRNA". It matches the Rfam family "Bacterial small subunit ribosomal RNA", at positions 28 to 1381 of the family's 1533-position model. The record is from RNAcentral.